UACGUAGGGUGCGAGCGUUAAUCGGAAUUACUGGGCGUAAAGCGUGCGUAGGUGGUUCUUUAAGUCAGGUGUGAAAUCCCUGGGCUCAACCUGGGAACUGCAUUUGAUACUGAAGAGCUAGAGUGUGGUAGAGGAUAGUGGAAUUCCCGGUGUAGCGGUGAAAUGCGUAGAUAUCGGGAGGAACAUCAGUGGCGAAGGCGGCUAUCUGGACCAACACUGACACUGAGGCACGAAAGCGUGGGUAGCAAACAGG
RNAcentral lists this ribosomal RNA (253 nucleotides) under uncultured bacterium. RNAcentral's name for it is "partial 16S ribosomal RNA". It matches the Rfam family "Bacterial small subunit ribosomal RNA", at positions 524 to 776 of the family's 1533-position model. The record is from RNAcentral.